Molecule: non-coding RNA, 796 nt
Filed under: Cilnia humeralis
Lineage: Eukaryota; Metazoa; Arthropoda; Insecta; Mantodea; Mantidae
Source: RNAcentral
CUUGCUUAAUUAUUUAUUUUAGCAUAAAUCUAUAUGUAAGUUUUUGCAUAAAUUUAUUUUCUUAAUGAGUUUAAGUUUAUAAAAGGCAGUAGAUUAUUUUAUUAAUAUUAAGGUAUUUUAGAUUUAGUUAAUGUUAAAAGGAUUGGUAAAAGCUGUGCCAGCAUCCGCGGUUAUACAGUAAAUUCAAAUAAAUAUUAUUGGUUUUGGAAUAAUUAUUGUUAUUGUGUAUAAUAUAUAAAUUAAGUUAUUUUAAGGUGAAAUUUAAAUAUUUAAUGAAAUAUAUUAAGUAGCGGGAAAUAUUGUUAAAAUAAAAAUAUAAACUAGGAUUAGAUACCCUAUUAUUUUAAUUGUAAAUAAAAAAAAACUGAGGUAUUAAUAGAUAAAUCUUUAAACUUAAAGAAUUUGGCGGUAUUAUAGUCUUUUUAGAGGAAUCUGUUAUGUAAUUGAUAAUCCACGUUGAACCUUACUUAUAUUAAUUCUUGUAUACCGCUGUUUAUGAAUAUAUUAUAAGGUAAUUUUCUGAAAAUUAUAUAAAUUAAUAUUUCAAGUCAAGGUGCAGUAAUAUAUAAGUUGAAUAAUGGAUUACAAUAAAUUUUAUUUAAAAUGGAUGAAUUAUUAAAAUAUAUUUGAAGGUGGAUUUAAAUGUAAUUUUAUAAAGAUUAUUAAAAUGAUUAUUAGCUCUAUAAUAUGUACACAUCGCCCGUCAUUCUCGUUAUUAAAGAUGAGACAAGUCGUAACAAAGUAGGUGUAUCGGAAGAUGUACCUAGAAAGAUUGAAAUUUAUAAUAUAAAUAAUU